Molecule: transfer RNA, 86 nt
Filed under: Treponema sp.
Lineage: Bacteria; Pseudomonadati; Spirochaetota; Spirochaetia; Treponematales; Treponemataceae
Description: tRNA-Ser
Rfam family: tRNA
About the family: Transfer RNA (tRNA) molecules are approximately 80 nucleotides in length.
Source: RNAcentral
GGAGGUGUGGUAGAGCGGUAAUACAACGGAUUGCUAAUCCGUCAGUUCCUUUUCGGGCUGGGCAGGUUCAACUCCUGUCGCCUCCG